GCUGAGGAUGGGUCUGCGGCCUAUCAGCUGUAGGGGGUUUAACAGACCCCUAGGCUUCGACGGGUACGGGCUAUGGGAGUAGUCGCCCGGAGAUGGACUCUGAGACACGAGUCCAGGCCCUACGGGGCGCAGCAGUCGCGAAAACUUCCCAAUGUGGGAAACCACGAGGAGGGAACUCCCAGUGCGUGCACUUUGUGUACGCUGUUCUCCUGUCUAAAACGCAGGAGAAGUAAGGGCCGGGUAAGACGGGUGCCAGCCGCCGCGGUAAUACCCGCGGCCCGAGUGGUGCUCAUUAUUAUUGAGUCUAAAACGUCCGUAGCCGGCCUGGUAGAUGCCUGGGUAAAUCGGGGCGCUUAACGUUCCGAAUUCCGGGUAGACCGCCAGGCUAGGGACCGGGAGAGGCUGGAGGUACUCCGGGGGUAGGGAUAAAAUCCUGUAAUCCUCGGAGGACCACCAGUGGCGAAGGCGUCCAGCUAGAACGGAUCCGACGGUCGGGGACGAAGCCCAGGGGCGCAAACGGGAUUAGAUACCCCGGUAGUCCUGGGUGUAAACGCUGCAGGCUUGGUGUCGGGGGUCCUACGAGGGCCCCCGGUGCCGGAGCGAAGGUGUUAAGCCUGCUACUUGGGGAGUACGGCCGCAAGGCUGAAACUUAAAGGAAUUGGCGGGGGGGCACCGCAACGGGAGGAGCGUGCGGUUCAAUUGGAUUCAACGCCGGAAAACUCACCGGGGGCGACCCUUACAUGAAGGCCAGGCCAAUGACCUUGCCUGAUUUUGGGAGAGGUGGUGCAUGGCCGUCGUCAGUUCGUACCGUAAGGCGUUCUGUCAAGUCAGAUAACGAACGAGACCCUCGCCCAUAAUUGCGACGUUGAUCUUCGGAUCGGCGGCACACUAUGGGGACCGCUAGCGCUAGC
RNAcentral lists this ribosomal RNA (911 nucleotides) under uncultured archaeon. RNAcentral describes it as "bacterial SSU rRNA". It matches the Rfam family "Archaeal small subunit ribosomal RNA", at positions 202 to 1119 of the family's 1478-position model. The record is from RNAcentral.